This is a long non-coding RNA of Pongo pygmaeus (Bornean orangutan), 370 nucleotides long. RefSeq lists it as uncharacterized. The transcript has 3 exons. The record is from RefSeq and is a predicted model, not a curated record. Lineage: Eukaryota; Metazoa; Chordata; Mammalia; Primates; Hominidae.
CCACCAUGUAACACAUGCCUUAGCUCCUCCUUUGCCUUCUGCCAUGAUUGUGAGGCCUCCCUAGCCAUGUGGAACUGUCCUUUCUUUACUGGAGAUGAAACCUUUGCUCCUAAGGUGGUAACUGAGGGAUGGAUGAGAUGAUUUCAAACCAGAGAGUUGAUAAAAUGGGAGUACACAGAAGACAAGAGGACGAACAGAAGAGCAGAAGAACUGCAGGAACCACAGCAGAGAGAAGAGAAGGAGUGUCUGUACACUGAGAGGAGUUCAACUGGGGAUGGCUGGAGAGGAGAUCAGCCUCUGGACUGCCAAACUCCAAGGGAAGAUCAUCAUCCCACUCCACCCCCGUUCCAGCUCCCCAUCCAUCCCACUA